Molecule: transfer RNA, 74 nt
Filed under: Sphaerisporangium album
Lineage: Bacteria; Bacillati; Actinomycetota; Actinomycetes; Streptosporangiales; Streptosporangiaceae
Also listed under: 6 other names
Rfam family: tRNA
About the family: Transfer RNA (tRNA) molecules are approximately 80 nucleotides in length. Their secondary structure includes four short double-helical elements and three loops (D, anti-codon, and T loops).
Source: Rfam by way of RNAcentral
GCGCCCUUAGCUCAGCUGGACAGAGCACCGGACUUCUAAUCCGACGGUCGCAGGUUCGAAUCCUGCAGGGCGCG